ACGCUGGCGGCGUGCUUAACACAUGCAAGUCGUGCGAGGACAGAUUGGAAAGUUUCGGACCGGAAGGAUCUGUCCGAGCGGCGGACGGGUGGGUAACGCGUGAGCAAUCUGCCUUCGACAGGGGGAUAACGCAUCGAAAGAUGUGCUAAUACCGCGUAAGACCACAGUGUCGCAUGGCACAGAGGUCAAAGGAGCAAUCCGGUCGAAGAUGAGCUCGCGUCCGAUUAGCCAGUUGGCGGGUAACGGCCCACCAAAGCGACGAUCGGUAGCCGACCUGAGAGGGUGAUCGGCCACAUUGGAACUGAGACACGGUCCAGACUCCUACGGGAGGCAGCAGUGGGGAAUAUUGGGCAAUGGGCGAAAGCCUGACCCAGCAACGCCGCGUGAGGGAAGAAGGGUUUCGGCUCGUAAACCUCUGUCCUAAAGGGCGAAGUAAGUGACGGUACUUUAGGAGGAAGCCCCGGCUAACUACGUGCCAGCCGCCGC
RNAcentral lists this ribosomal RNA (486 nucleotides) under uncultured bacterium. RNAcentral's name for it is "bacterial SSU rRNA". It matches the Rfam family "Bacterial small subunit ribosomal RNA", at positions 33 to 518 of the family's 1533-position model. The record is from RNAcentral.